UCAGAAAUCUACACGCAGACUGUGAAGAGGAUGCUAAGCCUGGAGCACAGCGGGGCAGGGUGAAAGACGUGGGACAUUGGCGGGCAUGGCAGAAGGCUAGGUAAGGAUAACAGCAAAGCUGGGGCCAAACCCACAGACCCGCCAUGGAGAAUCAUGACAGAUGAUGUGCCCCACAUGGCAGAGACCCUGUCAGUCCCGCCCCCCCUCCCUAACUGUGGAAACUUUGAGUGAGCCAGGUACAGGGAGCCCAUACAAUACACAGUGGGGAGAGGAGGCUGCCAAAGAAGAUGCAAACCAUGAAGCUAGUCAGGAGCUCCUGGAAACUCCACAAGAGUCAAAUUAGAUCUACCAGCUGCCUUUGGCAUGGUUACCUUAAAAGCUGCCCCUUCCACACUGGCUGAAUGUCUGAUUCACUUCAGGCAAAAAAGAAAAAAAGAAAGAAGCAGACUAUGAAAGAUAUAUGCCCUGUGAGAUUCUCCAGUCCUUUUACAGCUUUGAACAGUAAGGCUGGAAGGGCCAGGAGGACCAAGGACUGCUGCAGGAGAGACAAAUGAACCAAGAAGUGCAGCAGAAAGUGCACUGUGAUACUAUGGCUUUGCUCAGGACCAAACUGGAUCAAGGACGUUGCAGAACAGCAGAGACAGCAACAAGACGUGUCAAAGGCAGUGGCAGCAAAGCAGCAUCAGUGGAGGAAACUGGAGGUCGGCCCAUCUGAAUGCACCCCUGGACUUGGGCACUUUGCUCAUGUUGGACAACAACCAUGACUGGAGUACAGAUGAGAGAAAGAGAGAGUGGUAUGUUAAAGGUUGUCCUUUGUUGCAUGAAUGUUGGUCCUAGGAUAUUUGGCAGACAAGGUAAGAGAGGUAAUAUAUUUUAUAUGUUCCAAUUAAAGAUAUUAUCUUGGUGACCUUGCCUGUUAAUUCCUUGGAUGUCACUCCAUGAAGUAGGAAACUGAGACAAAGGACUACUGCUCAAGGAAAUGGGGAAUGGCUGUUUGCAUAAUUAAAUCAUUGUUGCUGUGUUCCUUCUCUCUUUAAGUUUUCUUUUGUUGUAUAUAGAUUCAGGGUAUAUCCACACUAUGACAUUAGGUUGAAUUGAUUGACGUUGACUUGUAGCAUCCAAGUUCCUCACUAUGCACAUGUAGUCAAUGGAGUGUGUUCCCACUGCCACAGCUAAUAACUCUAACAGCAAUGCACUGUGGAUAGCUACCUCACAGUUCCUGACACCCAUUUGUAUUCUGGGUUAGGCUCCCAAUGCCUGAUGGGACAAAAACAUUGUCAUGGGUACAUAUCAUCAGCUUUCCCCGAUGCACUUAUCUCCUCCCCUUCCUCCCUUCUUGAGAGCAAGGGAAAACAAUCUUUUCAUGCCCUCUUUUCCCUGGUUAUCCAUGCAGACACACUAGCACAGCAAGCAUGGACCCUACACUGCUGCAAAUUUCUGUGACCAGCAUUGCUAACAUCAUGGCAUUAUCCUGUAGUUUGUCCAGAGCCUAGCCAGGAGCCACCUGCACAAAGAAGAAUGUGAGAUGACCAUAUGCACAGACAUGCAGGAACCCACUGAGUGGAGCAAUUGGCAUAUGCUGGCAGCAGUCAGGCAUGUUGACACAGUGGAAUGCUGAUUCUGGUUCUGGGAAACAAGCACAGACUAUUAGGACUGCAUAGUUAGGCAGCUAUGGGAUGAUGAUCAGUGGCUGCAGAACUUCCACAUGCAUAAAACUACUUUCAUGGUUCCUUGUGAAUUGCUUCCCCCUACCCUGAAGCGCAGUCAUACCAGAAGGAGACCCGCUCUGGGUAUGUCUAUGCUACAGAGGAAGAUUGAAGCUGCUGCUGUUGAUCUUCCAGGGUUUG
Long non-coding RNA from Pelodiscus sinensis (Chinese soft-shelled turtle), 1847 nucleotides. RefSeq lists it as uncharacterized. NCBI's taxonomy places the organism in Eukaryota, Metazoa, Chordata, Testudines, Trionychidae. The record is from RefSeq and is a predicted model, not a curated record.